CGCGCAGGCGGUCGAUCAAGUCGAGUGUGAAAGCCCCCGGCUCAACUGGGGGAGGGUCAUUCGAUACUGAUCGACUCGAAGGCAGGAGAGGGUAGUGGAAUUCCCGGUGUAGUGGUGAAAUGCGUAGAUAUCGGGAGGAACACCAGUGGCGAAGGCGACUACCUGGCCUGUUCUUGACGCUGAGGCGCGAAAGCUAGGGAGCAAACG
This 207-nucleotide ribosomal RNA is filed under the name uncultured bacterium. RNAcentral describes it as "partial 16S ribosomal RNA". It matches the Rfam family "Bacterial small subunit ribosomal RNA", at positions 568 to 774 of the family's 1533-position model. The record is from RNAcentral.